AUACGUAGGGUGCAAGCGUUAAUCGGAAUUACUGGGCGUAAAGCGUGCGCAGGCGGUUUUGUAAGACAGAGGUGAAAUCCCCGGGCUCAACCUGGGAACUGCCUUUGGGACUGCAAGGCUAGAGUACGGCAGAGGGGGAUGGAAUUCCGCGUGUAGCAGUGAAAUGCGUAGAUAUGCGGAGGAACACCGAUGGCGAAGGCAAUCCCCUGGGCCUGUACUGACGCUCAUGCACGAAAGCGUGGGGAGCAAACAGGAUUAGAUACCCUGGUAGUCCACGCCCUAAACGAUGUCAACUGGUUGUUGGGUCUUCAUUGACUCAGUAACGAAGCUAACGCGUGAAGUGGACCGCCUGGGGAGUGCGGGCGCAAGGUUGAAACUCAAAUGAAUUGACGGGG
Molecule: ribosomal RNA, 395 nt
Filed under: uncultured bacterium
Lineage: Bacteria
Description: partial 16S ribosomal RNA
Rfam family: Bacterial small subunit ribosomal RNA
Source: RNAcentral